GGGUCAGGUACGAGGCUUUGCGCUCAGCCCUUGUUGUCCCUCCAGCCUCGCCACACCCAGACACCCAGGGGAAAGACGUGAGUGGGGACACGCAGUAGCCACUGUCCUUCCUGAGACCCGGUUUCUCCCUCACUACAGGUGAGCAUUCAAAAUUUCAAGGAUCUGCCCAGGAAGCAAAAUACCUCAGUUUAUCCCAAGGCUGAAAACAAAUGAACUUAAAUCACCACAUCACAAAAGGCAGCUAACUUGAAGACUAAAAAUGUCACUUGGAAAUUAAGGUGGGGGCAUACCCAGAAAUGGGGCAGAACACAAUGGAGAGAGAGGGAGGAGGUGUAAAUACAGCAGCCUAUACACCACAUAUCUCAGAGGAACAGGCUCCCGUAAUACCAGACGGUCUAUUUGUUCACAAUAUUAAAGGGCAUCUAGAAUUAGCUACAGUAAGGAAUUGAAAGUUGCCUGAAGAAUGGGCACAGAAAGGCUGCGUCCGAAGAUGGCCUGUCACUCAGGAGGGUGGAGCUGCUGGGCCUUCCUGUUGACCACUGUCUUGCGAAACUAGAAGAGAAAUACAAUUAUUAAGGAAGCAACAGGAAAACAGAAGCACAUUGUAAAUCAUCUUGAAUGGAGGAAUUUCAAAAGGAGGAAGGAUGCUAGUUGUGGGGAGGGGAGUGGGGGAAGAAGGCACUAAGGCCCCAGCAGUGACUAAAAGCUGGCAUUGCAGCUAUCCUCUUAAUCCUACCCUUCUGUCUCCCAGAAACUGCUUUAAGAACAUGGGGCAGUGAGUGUAAACAGAGGUUUGCACCACUGCUGGUGAGACUCUGGUGCUCCUUCAUUUUUGGGGGCUAUAGGACAGCCAGUUUAUUUGAUUAAGUAAUUUUCAUUCAGAGCCUAAUCUGGGAACAGAAUCAAGUUUUUCUUCCUAGGACCAAGACCACUCUAAGCUGCUGAAAUAACCUGAAUCUGGAGCUAAUAAGAGGAAGAAACUUUAGGAAAAGUGACAAUGUGAAACAAGGGUCACUCCUAUUCCUGUCCCGUGAUCUGGGCAGAAACUCUCCUAGCAUAUGAAAUGCUAACUCUAUUGAAGACAGCUAUUUAGUAUGGGACAGGGGGAUAUAAAAUAGGCAACAAAAUGCCAGAUACAGAGAUGAAUGCUAAAAGAAGCUGUCUGGCCAACAAAUUGUCCAAGGAAAUUGAACAGGGCAGGGAUGUGAGAACUAGAAAGUCUGGCAUGAAUAGUACAGGAAAGUCCCCCAACAUGCCACCUUCAACUAUGGCUCAAGUUGCAAGAGGGGAAAGUGAAUGAUGGAUUUCAUUCAUUAUUGUGAAUUAUAAACUUUGCUUCUGUGUCCACAA
Long non-coding RNA from Marmota monax (woodchuck), 1350 nucleotides. RefSeq lists it as uncharacterized. The record is from RefSeq and is a predicted model, not a curated record. The transcript has 2 exons. Lineage: Eukaryota; Metazoa; Chordata; Mammalia; Rodentia; Sciuridae.